CAGCAGCCGCGGGAAUACGUAGGGUGCGAGCGUUAAUCGGAAUUACUGGGCGUAAAGCGUGCGCAGGCGGUUCGUUAAGACAGAUGUGAAAUCCCCGGGCUUAACCUGGGAACUGCAUUUGUGACUGGCGAGCUAGAGUAUGGCAGAGGGGGGUAGAAUUCCACGUGUAGCAGUGAAAUGCGUAGAGAUGUGGAGGAAUACCGAUGGCGAAGGCAGCCCCCUGGGCCAAUACUGACGCUCAUGCACGAAAGCGUGGGGAGCAAACAGGAUUAGAUACCCCCGUAGUCCCUGUCUCUUAUAU
This 301-nucleotide ribosomal RNA is filed under the name uncultured bacterium. RNAcentral describes it as "partial 16S ribosomal RNA". It matches the Rfam family "Bacterial small subunit ribosomal RNA", at positions 509 to 809 of the family's 1533-position model. The record is from RNAcentral.